GACGAACGCUGGCGGCGUGCUUAACACAUGCAAGUCGAACGGAAAGGCCCAGCUUUUGUGGGGUGCUCGAGUGGCGAACGGGUGAGUAACACGUGAGUAACCUGCCCUUGACUUUGGGAUAACUUCAGGAAACUGGGGCUAAUACCGGAUAGGAGCUCCUGCUGCAUGGUGGGGGUUGGAAAGUUUCGGCGGUUGGGGAUGGACUCGCGGCUUAUCAGCUUGUUGGUGGGGUAGUGGCUUACCAAGGCUUUGACGGGUAGCCGGCCUGAGAGGGUGACCGGCCACAUUGGGAGUGAGAGACGGCGCGGGUCCGCACGGGGGCCAGCAGGGGGGAUUGUGGCAGAAGGGGCGGAGGCAGGAGGCAGCGGCGCCGCGUGGGGGAUGCCGGCCUACGGGUUUGAACCGGUUUCCGCAGGAAACGAAGCGGGUGGGAGGGUAUGGGAUAAAGAAGCACCGGCUAACUACGUG
RNAcentral lists this ribosomal RNA (468 nucleotides) under uncultured bacterium. RNAcentral's name for it is "partial 16S ribosomal RNA". It matches the Rfam family "Bacterial small subunit ribosomal RNA", at positions 28 to 507 of the family's 1533-position model. The record is from RNAcentral.